AUCAACCAGACAGAAAUCAACAAAAAUAAAAAUAUUUUUAACAUCAUAUAAACAGAACACAGGCUUUAAAAUAUAUAUACAUAUAUAUAUAUAUUCCUUGCCAGAAAAAAUUAUAAAUACAAGGUCAGAUAAAAUAAAAAGAUCCUCAUCUGUGUCCAUAUUGAUAAUGAAAUACUUGGUGAUUAGCCAUAAGAGAAACAUUCUUACUGCAGGAUCAAAUUUGGCUUUCUGAUUUUCCCUUCCUAGCUAGAAAAUCAGCUAAAGACCUAAUGAAUAGAAAGAAUGCCGAUCUACAUGACGAGAAUAGGUGGAGGAGAAAGCCUAAUUAAAGGGAGACAACUCUUAUAUAUGUAUAUCAAGGUUAAGCUUGUAUCAAAAGUUUUCAUUAUAUUAAAAGCUUCUUAGUAACUAAUAUUUUAUUCAACUCUGUUUCACAAGAAUACUUUAAAAGAAUGAACCAAACUACUAAUUAAAAAAACAUGAUACUGAUGUAAUGAGUUUUCUCCCUUUAUUUUAUUGAAAGGGAGAUACAAUGUAGUAAUUGUCGACAUAAUAUCUUUUCUUGCAGUAUGAAAGUUUGCUUGACUAUUUGUUAUUUAUUCUGAAUGGACAAAAUGAGAAUCAAUCUACUUUGAAUGAAGCAUAUUUAACCUACACUGCACACAACAACUUUCUUCACAUUAACAAUCAAUUAAAUAUAACAUCUUGUAGAUGAAAAAGGCUUCAUUAUGUGUCUUGCUGCAGGUCAUUUAUACAAUAUCAAUUUGCAAAUAAUAUACAUGACAUUAUACACUGCUGGGAAUCAUACAGUUUAUAAAAACUCUCAACACUGGGAAAAAUACAGUUUUAUAUAAAGUUUCACUGAAAAAAAACACUGCGGGAAGCAUACAGUUUCUUUACUGCUUGGAAUAUCACUACGUAAUUUCAUAAGCCUUAUAUUAUAAAGCAGUCAAGUAAACAACCAGACAUAAAAUUACAGAAAUGAAGCUGUAUUUAGAAUCAUAUUUAUCUAUAGUUUUGCUGUGUUUACAUUCCCCACACAAUAUUAUAGCUAAUUGUAAAAAAUUUAACCUUUG
This 1076-nucleotide long non-coding RNA is filed under the name Mytilus galloprovincialis (Mediterranean mussel). Lineage: Eukaryota; Metazoa; Mollusca; Bivalvia; Mytilida; Mytilidae. The record is from RNAcentral.